UACGUAGGUGGCAAGCGUUGUCCGGAUUUACUGGGCGUAAAGAGCGCGCAGGCGGUCGUCCAAGUCGCGUGUGAAAGCCCCCCGGCUCAACUGGGGAGGGUCACGCGAUACUGAUCGACUCGAAGGCAGGAGAGGGUAGUGGAAUUCCCGGUGUAGUGGUGAAAUGCGUAGAUAUCGGGAGGAACACCAGUGGCGAAGGCGACUACCUGGCCUGUUCUUGACGCUGAGGCGCGAAAGCUAGGGGAGCAAACGGG
Molecule: ribosomal RNA, 254 nt
Filed under: uncultured bacterium
Lineage: Bacteria
Description: partial 16S ribosomal RNA
Rfam family: Bacterial small subunit ribosomal RNA
Source: RNAcentral